GAGGCACUUCCUUCUGAACCUCCUUAGAGAUACUGAGGGUCACGUAUCACAAGCUAGGUCAAAUCCAAACUGAUGUGUACCCAAGAGCCUACACUUUGGUGACCGUGUGUCUGCAGCUGGGACAGGACCUGAUGUCCAUGUAAUGUACAGCAUAACAACUGGUAAUUCUGAAU
RNAcentral lists this long non-coding RNA (173 nucleotides) under Apteryx owenii (little spotted kiwi). RNAcentral describes it as "lncRNA (ENSAOWG00000014879.1)". The record is from RNAcentral. Lineage: Eukaryota; Metazoa; Chordata; Aves; Apterygiformes; Apterygidae.